CAGUGAGCCAAGAUUGUGCCAUUGUACUCCAGCAUGGAUGACACAGUGAGACUCUGUCUAAAACAAAAAAAAAAACACGUAUCACAACUAUUUUCCCAUGUUGUUAAAAAUUACACCAGUAAUAUAAGAGAAUAUUGGGUGCCCUGUACCCUUGCCAAUACUGGACAUUCUCACUUUUUCGGUAUUUCCCAAUAUGAUAUGUGAAAACCGUCAUGUCCUUGUUUUGAUUUGCAUUUUCCCCAAGCAUCAGCGAGGUUUAAUGGUUUUCAUAUUUUAAAAAAGUACUUUUUAAAAUAAGUAUUUUUACUGUACCAGUAAAAACGAGGCUUUGCAGUCUUGCACCUGCUAUAUAACAUGCUCUCGGUUGAUGGCCAUGCACCUUCAGUCAGAAUUUAUAUAUAAAUAUAUGCACCCAUUGUUUUGAGUGCAUAUAAUUGGACCUAAAAAUCUUUUUGAUUAGAUGAAACACCAGAAAUAUAAGGAAAAUAACACAGCAGAGGAAUAACUCAGCCUGAACAGUGAGGUGGUCCCAGCUAAUUACAUGAGGUGCAGUUUUUUUGUUCCCUUCUAUUCUUUGGAUAUGGUUACGGCGUUUGUAGGCUUGGAGGUAAAGAACUGAAGAUAACUGGUACUGGAUAGAGGAGCCUUUAUUUUUAUUAUGGCAGCUUGCUAUUUUUAUAACAUGGUCAUUGAGUUGAAAACAAUCAAAGUACAGUAGCAACUGAUCUUCCCUUCUUCCUGGAUGAGUGAGCAGAUGAUUACUGAUGUCAGCAUCCCUGAACCAUAUAAAAGUGAGCAGUGUUUGGCGAUGCUUUUGUUUGAAAUGAUACUGUGUUUUGGUUGUAGUCCGAAGCUUUGAAGCGCUACUUAACAUCUCCUUUCUUCCAUGGAGCUCUCACCAUUCAAACAUGACACAUUUGGUAAAAUACUAGUUAGGUUGAGUCUUCCUUGCCCCCACUCAGUCAUCUUUGAAUGAAUCCCAUAGUUUGGGAUUUUUUUCUUUUUUUUUUUCCUUUUUUUAAAAACGUUUUUAGCUGGUGUUCAUGAAGAACAGUGAGUACCUAGAACUGUGCCACUAAGUAAAGGAAAUCCUAAGAAGGUUCAUUUCUUUACAGAGCUGUGUCAUGCCAUCCUUUGGGCCCUCUGCUGGAAAAGUAGAAUCAAGUCUCAAAUAAUGCCUUUUUAAUUGUAUUAUAGAUAUAGGACAGUACUGUAUCAUACCUCUGUGAAUGUAAAAUAUCUUGUUACCUGCUUUAUGAUAUGUAGUAGUGACCGUGCUUUAUCAGACCUGUUUUAAAUGAUGUUACUCUAGAAUGUUUUCUUUCCAGAUGAUGAUUCAGAAGCUAAUUUUUAAAAAUGGUGCCAGGGACCAGUUACAACAGUAACAGAACUUUGCAAUUUUGGGGGGUUUUGUUUUUUACCUUUUUCUCCCCUUUUUUUAAAAUGGAGUGUGCUGGAUGUCUCUAUAAUUUUGUUCAGAUGACUGCAGAACCUGGAAAAACUGUUGCUCCUAUUGAUGCAUAACAUACUGCUAUUAUUGGUCUACACACACACACACACACACACACACACACGAUUUGAAUUUUUGGAAACUGUAGCUGUGCUGUCAACUUUGGAAAAAGUAUCCCAGUGUACUGUGUUGACUUGGCAUUGUACAGAGAUUAAAAGCCAUAUUGGUCUAGAAACAUUAAACUUAAACAUUGAACUUAAUUUUUUUCCAUUUGUACAGGGGUAACACUUCUUUAUAUAGAAGUUUUAACUUACGUGGUCAGAUCUUUCGCUUAAAAAAAUUCAUUAUUCAACUUGAAAAUCUUUUACUUCAUUAUAGGUUUGGUUUUUUGUUUUUUUUUUUUAUUGUUUAGCAAAAUCUCUACCAUCCCAAGAUUAUUUUAAAAAGUUUUUCACUUAUUUUAUGUGAAAAAAUUUUUUUCCACACUGAGCUCAUUUAGUUUGUAUGGAAUUUCCUUUUGCAUUUAUCAUGAGGGUAGGAAUCUAACAUUUUCCCCAAAUGGAUAGGAUUUUACGUCUCUCAGUUCACUGACCUGUUCAUAUUUCAAAUGCCACAAAGUCUUCCUGCAUCCAUGAGGCCUCUUUCUGGAUUUUCAGUUCUGUUCCAGUGACAGGUCUGUUUGUGUUUAUUCCAUUACUUUGCCUCCCCUGUGGCUUUUUAUAGACGUUUGAUAUCUGAUAGGGCAAAUAUGCUCAUUUUCAAUUUUUUCUUAGCUAUUCUCAUGAAUUUACUGUUUCUGGUGAAUUUUAGAAUUAUUUUGAUGAAUUUUAAGACAAAUCCCAUUGAGAUUAUGAUUACAAUUGGCUGAAUUUAUAGAUGAAUAUGGAAAAUACUCAAUUCUCACUAGCAGGUCUUUCCAUAAAGGAGGAUACUGUUUCUGUUUAUUCUGGAGUUGCCUCUCUGUUAAUGGUUUUAACGUAGAUGCUCACUGUAGCACUGUUUUAUUCGAAACACAUGUAUUAGAAAGAUAGAGUAAAGUAGUUGAGGGAAAAGCCUCAUAUCAUCUCUUCCUGUUUUCAUUACUCUUUUCACCUUUAAUUCUGGGUCUGAAGAGACUUUAUCAUGAUAAAUGGUGUAUGUAUACUCAGGCUCUUGUAACAAUUGGCAGUAUAGUAAGAUCUCUUUUUCUUACUGGCAUUAAUUUAAUGAUUAAGGACUAUUUAAUCAAGUUGAUAAUUGUACUUAACUUUUUUUUUUAUAUCUUUUUAAGAUGGGGUUUCACCAUGAUGGCCAGGCUGUUCUUGAGCUCCUGACCUCAGGUGAUCCACCCACCUCAGCCUCCCAAAGUGCUAGGAUUGCAGGCGGGAGCCACCAGGCAGGUCUGAUAACUGUACUUAACUCUUAUGUUAGAUAAGAAGAGUGUUUGUAGUUUCUGAGAGUACACAUUAAGAUAGUGCCUUUACUCUUGUUUUAUUUGAAAAACUCUUUGAGGUAAUACAUAAUUGUUGUGAAAAUUUCAUAGAAUAUUGCAGCAUAUGAAGAAGAAAGUGCUUUUUGAGAAGGUGAGAAUUUUGUUUUCCAAACUAUCAGUCAUUGAUGUGCUUCCUUGUUACUUGUGCCAUAUAUUUGUAUCAUCUGUACUGUUAAUUCAUAACAGUUUUCUUAAAAUUUACUAAAGAAAUCCAAAAAUCCUUAGUGAUAAGAGCUGUGAACUCGUACAUUGAUGUGUAUUACAUAAAUAAUUAGAUAAUAAACUUAAGCCUCUGCUUUCAUUUUAUUUGUCAAAUGAGGUUAGUGUGCCACCUCCCUUGUAAGGCUAUUAUAAAAUUAAACAGCAGGUGUAGAGUCAGUCAGCACAGCCCUAGUACAUAGGUGUUCCACAAAUACUAUCAUUCAAUAUAAUAACUUGUAAAUAACCUUGUGACUUUUUCAAAGCUAGUUCUCACACAAGCAUCUCAUUUGAAAAGUGUUUACAUAGUAUUCAUUGUAAGAAUAUACUAUGAUUUAUGAAACAGUGUUUUGUAAUUACUUUUUGAGCUUCUUUGUAAAAAGAGCAACAAAUAACAGGAUUGGUUUCUAAUAUGUAUCACCAGAUUUCCCUCCCAAAGGACUGUAUUAAUUUGCUGUUCUGUCAGUUUAGACUUCAUGAUUUAAUUAUUUGGUGGGGGCAAUAGUGGGUUUUAAAAUAAUACUUCUUUUUGUUUUAGUUAACACUAUUCACUAGCCAUUAAGGAACACAUUAAUUACUAUUCUUGUGCAAUUUUCUGAGAGGUAGGUAUGCCUGCCUCUGUGUGUGGGCGUGUGUGUGGGCUUGUGUGUGUGUGUGAUGCAAUUUAUGUGUGUGGUAUUAGAAAUUGAGAAAUUAUGGUAAUUUUAUAUUAUUUUGGUCAGGGAUCCGUGGAAUGUCAGAAGUGUCUCCAAUUUGUAGCCGCUGUUUUCAAGUCUAUAGGGUCCAUGGGAGAAAGAUUUGUAUUAAAAAUUUGCACUGACAAAUGGAAAACAAAAGGACUGUGUAUUUUAUUCUUAACUAGGACUUGGGCAGCAAACUCCAGGGUAGAAAGAAGACUGGAAUGAGACCAGCUGGCUUAUGUGGAAAUGCUGGGUUUUUUUCCGGAAUCUAGUUAAGCUUAAAUUGUUUCAAACUAAAGCAGGCCAUGAGAUGAACCCUUUUCAUCUCCCCAGGACUCAAACACACUGCGAUCUUUCCCCCACAUUUCACUCCUUUCUGUCAGUUGCCCCAGGUAAUGUAACCAGAGCGAGCGCAUUUCCCCUGACUGACUGCUGAUCUGGCCUUGGACACUUGCCCUGGCCUCUUCUGCCCAUGCAGUAGGUUUGGCCCUGGCUAUCCCUGACAGUGCGGGGUACAGGAGGGAGUGACGACCUUCUCAACCACUUCAGUCACAUGGAAGAAGGAGAAGAGUGAGCUCACAUCUGUACGCUGACCUUUUAACAGUGACGCUGCCCAGUGACACACAGACCUAGUGUUCUCACAUCUGCCUUCUUCCUUCCUGAGAAUCAGGAGAAACAGCAGCUCAGGCUUGAUCUCUCACCUCAGAAGACAGCAUGUAAAAACUUGCAGCCAUUCUCAGAAGCACUGGUUUUCUGUUGGGUUAUUGCCUGUGUCAAAUGAGCCAGAAAGAGGUGGAGUAACAACUGACUUGCUGAGAAUUGCACACAAUCCAUGUCCCCCCACCGCACCGCUCCUCAGCUACACAUCAGCCUGCAGAGAGUGACUUCUUACUCUUGAGACGUUCUUUCCUCUUGCUUAAUGGUUCAUGACAUGUUCUUCAUUUUCCUCCUCUCUCUCUCUCUUUCUUUUUUUCCUGGCUUAUUCUCCUGUAUUUGGCCGUUGGAUGUUGAUGUUCACCCAUCAGCCCUAGGCCCUUCUGUCAUUCUUCUUUGCCUAAGCAGUCACAGCCAUGUCCAUGGCCUCAGUCAUGGGCAAAUCCAAUAUUUUCAUCUCUACCCCAACUUCUGCUGUUGAGAGCUCGAUCUACUAAUACCUGAUUGCCUACUGGACAGAUCUACUUGGAUAUCUAAAAAGUAUUCUAUAUUCAGCAUGUCCAAGAUUUGUUUGAUAUUCUUCCUACAAAAAUGCUGUUUACUAUCUUAACGAAAGGCAUCACCGGCUGGGCAACGGUGGCUUACCUCUGUAAUCCCAGCACUUUGGGAGGCCGAGGUGGGUGGAUUGCCUGAGGUCAGGAGUUCAAGUCUAACCUGGCCAAAAGGGUGAAACUCCCUCUACU
Molecule: long non-coding RNA, 5196 nt
Organism: Sapajus apella (tufted capuchin)
Lineage: Eukaryota; Metazoa; Chordata; Mammalia; Primates; Cebidae
Exons: 2
Source: RefSeq, a predicted model, not a curated record